RNAcentral lists this ribosomal RNA (301 nucleotides) under uncultured bacterium. RNAcentral's name for it is "partial 16S ribosomal RNA". It matches the Rfam family "Bacterial small subunit ribosomal RNA", at positions 509 to 807 of the family's 1533-position model. The record is from RNAcentral.
CAGCCGCCGCGGGAAUACGUAGGUGGCAAGCGUUGUCCGGAAUUAUUAGGCGUAAAGGGCUCGCAGGCGGUUUCUUAAGUCUGAUGUGAAAGCCCCCGGCUCAACCGGGGAGGGUCAUUGGAAACUGGGAAACUUGAGUGCAGAAGAGGAGAGUGGAAUUCCACGUGUAGCGGUGAAACGCGUAGAGAUGUGGAGGAACACCAGUGGCGAAGGCGACUCUCUGGUCUGUAACUGACGCUGAGGAGCGAAAGCGUGGGGAGCGAACAGGAUUAGAUACCCGGGUAGUCCCUGUCUCUUAUAC